RNAcentral lists this long non-coding RNA (1793 nucleotides) under Cricetulus griseus (Chinese hamster). RNAcentral describes it as "lncRNA (ENSCGRG00000024291.1)". Lineage: Eukaryota; Metazoa; Chordata; Mammalia; Rodentia; Cricetidae. The record is from RNAcentral.
AAGAUAGGUGGGACUAAGAGACAAGGGGAAUUCUGGGAAAUGUAGUAAAGAGAAGUCUUGUGAUCCAGGCAGGAAGUGAUGUAGCAGGCAGUAACAGUAUAUAAACAAGAACAAACAGGAAAUCACUCUCUUUUCCUUUUCUCUUCUCUGCGGAGAUGCUGAGCAGAUGCGAUGUAGACCCCAACGGAGUAAGAGGCCCGGGACCUUAUGUCCAGUAAGAUAAAGCCACGUGGAAAUACUUACAUUAUUAGAAUUGGGUUAAUAAUCAAGACUUAGCUAGCAAAUAAGAAACCUUAGCUAAAGGCCAACAGUAUUUGUAACUAAUAUAGCAUCUGCAUGUUUUCUUUUGGCCAGAGAAGGGUAGCGGGACCUAGCUGGGCCAGAGAAAACCUCAUGUUACACACAAUAACACUAAAAGCCAUGUUGUGUUUUCAGGAACUUUAGUGCAAGAGUAACAGGUGAACAACAAACAUGAAAUCACAGCACUGCCCACAGCACUACCCUGAGCCAUAGGAACAACUGUGCACACUUCCUUCAUUUCUGGUGGUCACGAUUGUAUUUAAGUCAUUUGUUGUAACUGUCCAUUUCAAAUCCUGAGUACUGUGACGGCAGGACCACACCAUGGCAACAUCUUGAGGUCAACUCUGGGCCCCCUACACCGGGAUAAGUAAACAAAAGCCUUCCAGCCCUCUUCCCCUACAGUGCUUCCGCCCAGCAAUUUCUGUGAGUCCCAGUAUUCCUUGGGUAAGGUUGCUUGGUAAUACAGACUGUCAAAUUAAAUUUGAAUUUCAAAAACACAGCAGACAUUUUUGAAUGUAUCUCAAAUGCUGUAGAGAAGGAACCUCACACCUUUUGUUUUCACUUUCAGAACUUGGCAGCCUUAUUCUUGGAGCUGUGAUAUGUUGAGAACCCUAACAGCAUGGAUACAUCAUUGGAAGUAUAAAAUACAGGAGAAAAGUUCAUUGGAAGAACGAUACACGAUCUUCUCUCCCCCUCAGUGAAGGGUGUCACACGGCAUUCUGGCCACAGCCCUCUCCCCUGUGUUCCAGUCAACAAAGUGGUUUGUCCAAAGAAGAGGACUCAGCAGUCAAAAUUAGUCAUGUGACCUGCCUCCUCCCAACUACACAAGCUAGAGUGGUCCUAACCAUACUCUUUCAAUGACAAAGAAUUGGAAUGAAGAGACCUGGGAUGACUAACAAGAAGGGGAUCAGCCUCUUAGAAGUUGCUUUUAUCAAGAAGUCAAUGACCGCUCACUGAGGUCCACAAACAAUUAAAAGCUGGGUGAAAGCCUGGAAUAUCUACUUCAGUUUGCUCCCUUUGGCCACCACCAUCCCUCUUCAAGUGGGCAUGGCGACCACUUAGGGAGCCCCUGUGGAGGCACUGGAGAUAGCCAGCCUAUUUCAUUCUGCUUCAGGGUUGAUGGCAUGAAGAACCAAUGUUCUCAAACAGCAUUUCCAAAAAUUGGCUAAACACAUUAUGGGGACAGUGGAAAACAUGAAGCAUGCUUUUGGACUUUAUGCGUAAGAAUUUGAAAACAGAUAUAUCAAAAUGUCUGGAAAAAUGAUAUUUUGAUAUAUUUCUCACUCUUAUGUCUUCAGUCGACAUAAAUAAGCCACCUGCCAGUUUUCAAUAGAAUUUGUAGAGCUGCAAACUGGCAUCCAAGUUAAAGAAUUUGCUCAUGUCCCUUUACUAAUUUUUCAUAGGUCCUGUCUUCCCCAGAGCAACGGCCUUGACUUAACAAUCAUUAUGUGUGUUUUCACUUAACGAGCAUUUGUGGGUGACUAUUUUCAAGA